Molecule: non-coding RNA, 30 nt
Filed under: Homo sapiens (human)
Lineage: Eukaryota; Metazoa; Chordata; Mammalia; Primates; Hominidae
Source: RNAcentral
UGGUUAGCAUUUUGGUAGCACCUUUGCCAG